RNAcentral lists this long non-coding RNA (577 nucleotides) under Mytilus galloprovincialis (Mediterranean mussel). The record is from RNAcentral. Lineage: Eukaryota; Metazoa; Mollusca; Bivalvia; Mytilida; Mytilidae.
GCAGGGCUUCUUUUAAAAGUUCUAGAUGUGAUCAAUAUCUUUUGUCAGAGCAGGGCUUCUUUUAAAAGUUCUAGAUGUGAUCAAUAUCUUUUGUCAGAGCAGGGCUACUUUUAAAAGUUCUAGAUGUGAUCAAUAUCUUUUGUCAGAGCAGGGCUACUUUUAAAAGUUCUAGAUGUGAUCAAUAUCUUUUGUCAGAGCAGGGCUUCUUUUAAAAGUUCUAGAUGUGAUCAAUAUCUUUUGUCAGAGCAGGGCUUCUUUUAAAAGUUCUAGAUGUGAUCAAUAUCUUUUGUCAGAGCAGGGCUACUUUUAAAAGUUCUAGAUGUGAUCAAUAUCUUUUGUCAGAGCAGGGCUUCUUUUAAAAGUUUUUGGGUUGGAUUAUAUUAUAGAAAGAUACAGGAUACUGAUCAUGAUUGAAUUUACGUUGAAAAUAUUACAAACUUAUCAUAAAAACAAGGCCAAGGUCAGAUGAACCAUAACAGACAGACAAUCUUCUUUGUUAAAUAUUUGUUUGUUUUGUUCUGAUUGAGAUUGUGACACAGUGAUGACUGCUGUACCCCUAUUUUGACAAUUUUACCUA